AAUGGGCGAGAGCCUGAACCAGCCAUCCCGCGUGCAGGAUGACGGCCCUAUGGGUUGUAAACUGCUUUUCUGCUCCAAGAAACCUGAUUACGCGUAAUCAGUUGACGGUAGAGUAGGAAUAAGCAUCGGCUAACUCCGUGCCAGCAGCCGCGGUAAUACGGAGGAUGCAAGCGUUAUCCGGAUUCAUUGGGUUUAAAGGGUGCGCAGGUUGGAAUGUAAGUCAGUGGUGAAAUACUGCCGCUUAACGGUAGAACUGCCAUUGAUACUGCGUUUCUUGAGUAUGGUUGAGGUAGGUGGAAUGUGUUGUGUAGCGGUGAAAUGCAUAGAUAUGACACAGAACGCCAAUUGCGAAGGCAGCUUACUAAGCCAUUACUGACGCUGAGGCACGAAAGCGUGGGGAUCGAA
Molecule: ribosomal RNA, 405 nt
Filed under: uncultured bacterium
Lineage: Bacteria
Description: bacterial SSU rRNA
Rfam family: Bacterial small subunit ribosomal RNA
Source: RNAcentral